RNAcentral lists this ribosomal RNA (253 nucleotides) under uncultured bacterium. RNAcentral describes it as "partial 16S ribosomal RNA". It matches the Rfam family "Bacterial small subunit ribosomal RNA", at positions 524 to 776 of the family's 1533-position model. The record is from RNAcentral.
GACAGAGGCCUCGAGCGUUAGGCGGAAUCACUGGGCUUAAAGCGUGUGUAGGCGGAUCGGUAAGUACCUUGUGAAAUCCCACAGCUUAACUGUGGAACUGCUUGGUAUACUGCCAGUCUUGAGCCAGCUAGGGGCUACCGGAACAAAUGGUGGAGCGGUGAAAUGCGUAGAUAUCAUUUGGAACGCCAAUGGUGAAAACAGGUAGCUGGGGCUGUGCUGACGCUGAGACACGAAAGCCAGGGGAGCAAACGGG